AGAGUUUGAUCAUGGCUCAGGAUGAACGCUGGCGGCGUGCCUAACACAUGCAAGUCGAGCGAUUCUCUUCGGAGAAGAGCGGCGGACGGGUGAGUAACGCGUGGGUACCCUGCCCUGUACACACGGAUGACAUACCGAAAGGUAUGCUAAUACGAGAUAAUAUGCUUUUAUCGCAUGGUAGAAGUAUCAAAGCUCCGGCGGUACAGGAUGGACCCGCGUCUGAUUAGCUAGUUGGUAAGGUAGCGGGCUUACCAAGGCGACGAUCAGUAGCCGACCUGAGAGGGUGAUCGGCCACAUUGGAACUGAGACACGGUCCAAACUCCUACGGGAGGCAGCAGUGGGGAAUAUUGCACAAUGGGCGAAAGCCUGAUGCAGCAACGCCGCGUGAGCGAUGAAGGCCUUCGGGUCGUAAAGCUCUGUCCUCAAGGAAGAUAAUGACGGUACUUGAGGAGGAAGCCCCGGCUAACUACGUG
This 473-nucleotide ribosomal RNA is filed under the name uncultured bacterium. Its description in RNAcentral is "bacterial SSU rRNA". It matches the Rfam family "Bacterial small subunit ribosomal RNA", at positions 8 to 507 of the family's 1533-position model. The record is from RNAcentral.